Molecule: ribosomal RNA, 850 nt
Filed under: Curvularia trifolii
Lineage: Eukaryota; Fungi; Ascomycota; Dothideomycetes; Pleosporales; Pleosporaceae
Also listed under: 1 other name
Description: eukaryotic LSU rRNA
Rfam family: Eukaryotic large subunit ribosomal RNA
Source: RNAcentral
ACAGGGAUUGCCCUAGUAACGGCGAGUGAAGCGGCAACAGCUCAAAUUUGAAAUCUGGCUCUUUUAGAGUCCGAGUUGUAAUUUGCAGAGGGCGCUUUGGCUUUGGCAGCGGUCCAAGUUCCUUGGAACAGGACGUCACAGAGGGUGAGAAUCCCGUACGUGGUCGCUAGCUAUUGCCGUGUAAAGCCCCUUCGACGAGUCGAGUUGUUUGGGAAUGCAGCUCUAAAUGGGAGGUAAAUUUCUUCUAAAGCUAAAUAUUGGCCAGAGACCGAUAGCGCACAAGUAGAGUGAUCGAAAGAUGAAAAGCACUUUGGAAAGAGAGUCAAACAGCACGUGAAAUUGUUGAAAGGGAAGCGCUUGCAGCCAGACUUGCUUGCAGUUGCUCAUCCGGGCUUUUGCCCGGUGCACUCUUCUGCAGGCAGGCCAGCAUCAGUUUGGGCGGUGGGAUAAAGGUCUCUGUCACGUUCCUUCCUUCGGGUUGGCCAUAUAGGGGAGAUGUCAUACCACCAGCCUGGACUGAGGUCCGCGCAUCUGCUAGGAUGCUGGCGUAAUGGCUGUAAGCGGCCCGUCUUGAAACACGGACCAAGGAGUCUAACAUCUAUGCGAGUGUUUGGGUGUCAAGCCCGAGCGCGUAAUGAAAGUGAACGGAGGUGGGAACCCGCAAGGGUGCACCAUCGACCGAUCCUGAAGUUUACGGAAGGAUUUGAGUAAGAGCAUGGCUGUUGGGACCCGAAAGAUGGUGAACUAUGCUUGAAUAGGGUGAAGCCAGAGGAAACUCUGGUGGAGGCUCGCAGCGGUUCUGACGUGCAAAUCGAUCGUCAAAUUUGGGCAUAGGGGCGAAAGACUAAUC